RNAcentral lists this ribosomal RNA (1497 nucleotides) under Triticum aestivum (bread wheat). Its description in RNAcentral is "partial small subunit ribosomal RNA". The record is from RNAcentral. Lineage: Eukaryota; Viridiplantae; Streptophyta; Magnoliopsida; Poales; Poaceae.
GCUGAAAUAGAGAAGGUUAAGAAAAGAAGGGAGGAAAGAGCAAUUGAAAAACAGCAUGAGGAGGAAAUGGCAUUGUUAGCUAGAGAAAGAGCACGUGCUGAGUUUCAAGAUUGGGAGAAGAAAGAGGAAGAGUUUCAUUUUGAUCAAANCAAAUUUAGGUCUGAGAUCAGGUUACGGGAGGGACGUACAAAGCCUAUUGAUGUUCUCCUGAAGAAUCUUAACUUUGCAGACGAAUUUGAUGUUGAGUUAAAUGAGCCCUACUUGGUGUUCAAGGGAUUAACAGUGAAGGAGAUGGAAGAGNNNNGUGAUGACAUUAAGAUGCAUCUCGAUCUGGACAGGGAAAGCCAAGUAAAUGUCAAGUACUGGGAGGCACUCAUGGUAGUGUGUGAUUGGGAGCUAGGUGAGGCUCAUAAAAGAGAUGUCGUGGACCGGGCUAGGGUGCGUGGUGAGGAACCACCCCGUGAGGUUGAACAGAGAGGCUUGCAUGCAAGUAUUGAGGGGGAUGUAAAAGAUCUCUUGGAGGGUAAGACUUCCACAGAGCUAGAAGAGAUGCAAAAUCAAAUUGAGUCCCAGAUGCGCUCUGGAACUGCAAAAGUUGUUGAAUACUAGGAGGCCAUUUUGAAACGCCUUCAUAUAUACUCCCUCCGUGCUUGCCUGAGGGCAAUCCAUGCUUCUCUCUUACGGAAGCAUCUGCAUCGUCUAGAGAAUGCUGGUGCUCCUGAACAGGCUGUAGAAGCUGAUGAAGAAUUAGACACUAAAGAGGAGGAUGUGAUGCACGAUGAGGAAGAUGAUAAACGAUAUUCGCCAGAACCUAUAGAACAUAUAGUUGAAGCAACAGAGAGCCAUUUGGAUGAGGAUGAUGGCUCCUUCUCGCCCGAGUUAAUGCAUGGCAAUGAAGAUGAAGAUGCAAUUGAUCCUGACGAGGACAAGGCAGAACUGGAUCGGCAACGUGAAGCUGUAGUUACCGAGCAUCAAAGGAAAGUUAAGGAGGUUAUGACAGCUAAGGCAAAAAAAACAGAUGAGUUGGAACUGAAGGCAAUGAAAGCGAUGGGAGCAAUGGAGGAAGGGGACGCUGUAUUUGGUUCAGGUGCUGAAGUGAACCUGGAUUCACAGGUGUACUGGUGGCAUGACAAGUACCGACCAAGGAAACCAAAGUACUUCAAUAGUGUGCAUACUGGAUAUGAGUGGAACAAAUACAAUCAAGCUCAUUAUGAUCAUGACAACCUGCCUCCUAAAAUUGUCCAGGGCUACAAGUUCAACAUAUUUUACCCUGAUCUUGUGGAUAAAUCAAAAGUACCAAUGUACCUAGAGAAAGAUGGAAGUGCUGGGGAGACAUGCCAUAUAAGGUUUCAUGCUGGCCCUCCAUACGAGGAUAUUUCUUUCCGCAUCGUGAACAAGGAGUGGGAGUACUCACACAAGAAGGGCUUCAAGUGCACGUUUGAGCGUGGGAUUCUUCAUCUCUAUUUCAACUUCAAGCGAUACCGCUACAGGCGAUAG